GAUGAACGCUGGCGGCGUGCCUAAUACAUGCAAGUCGAGCGAACAGAUAAGGAGCUUGCUCCUUUGACGUUAGCGGCGGACGGGUGAGUAACACGUGGGUAACCUACCUAUAAGACUGGGAUAACUUCGGGAAACCGGAGCUAAUACCGGAUAACAUUUGGAACCGCAUGGUUCUAAAGUGAAAGAUGGUUUUGCUAUCACUUAUAGAUGGACCCGCGCCGUAUUAGCUAGUUGGUAAGGUAACGGCUUACCAAGGCAACGAUACGUAGCCGACCUGAGAGGGUGAUCGGCCACACUGGAACUGAGACACGGUCCAGACUCCUACGGGAGGCAGCAGUAGGGAAUCUUCCGCAAUGGGCGAAAGCCUGACGGAGCAACGCCGCGUGAGUGAUGAAGGGUUUCGGCUCGUAAAACUCUGUUAUUAGGGAAGAACAAACGUGUAAGUAACGGUGCACGUCUUGACGGUACCUAAUCAGAAAGCCACGGCUAACUACGU
This 496-nucleotide ribosomal RNA is filed under the name uncultured bacterium. RNAcentral describes it as "partial 16S ribosomal RNA". It matches the Rfam family "Bacterial small subunit ribosomal RNA", at positions 28 to 506 of the family's 1533-position model. The record is from RNAcentral.